CAGCCGCCACGGUAAUACGGAGGGUGCUAGCGUUGUUCGGAAUCACUGGGCGUAAAGGGCGCGUAGGCGGCCUGUUAAGUCGGAUGUGAAAGCCCGGGGCUCAACCCCGGAACUGCAUCCGAGACUGGCAGGCUUGAGACCGGGAGAGGAGGGUGGAAUAUCCAGUGUAGAGGUGAAAUUCGUAGAUAUUGGAUGGAACACCGGUGGCGAAAGCGGCUCUCUGGCCCGGAUCUGACGCUGAGGCGCGAAAGCGUGGGGAGCAAACAGGAUUAGAUACCCCGGUAGUCCCUGUCUCUUAUAC
RNAcentral lists this ribosomal RNA (301 nucleotides) under uncultured bacterium. RNAcentral describes it as "partial 16S ribosomal RNA". It matches the Rfam family "Bacterial small subunit ribosomal RNA", at positions 509 to 807 of the family's 1533-position model. The record is from RNAcentral.